GAUGAACGCUGGCGGCGUGCCUAAUACAUGCAAGUCGAGCGAACAGAUAAGGAGCUUGCUCCUUUGACGUUAGCGGCGGACGGGUGAGUAACACGUGGGUAACCUACCUAUAAGACUGGGAUAACUUCGGGAAACCGGAGCUAAUACCGGAUAAUAUUUCGAACCGCAUGGUUCGAUAGUGAAAGAUGGUUUUGCUAUCACUUAUAGAUGGACCCGCGCCGUAUUAGCUAGUUGGUAAGGUAACGGCUUACCAAGGCGACGAUACGUAGCCGACCUGAGAGGGUGAUCGGCCACACUGGAACUGAGACACGGUCCAGACUCCUACGGGAGGCAGCAGUAGGGAAUCUUCCGCAAUGGGCGGAAGCCUGACGGAGCAACGCCGCGUGAGUGAUGAAGGUCUUCGGAUCGUAAAACUCUGUUAUUAGGGAAGAACAUACGUGUAAGUAACUGUGCACGUCUUGACGGUACCUAAUCAGAAAGCCACGGCUAACUACGUG
RNAcentral lists this ribosomal RNA (497 nucleotides) under uncultured bacterium. RNAcentral's name for it is "partial 16S ribosomal RNA". It matches the Rfam family "Bacterial small subunit ribosomal RNA", at positions 28 to 507 of the family's 1533-position model. The record is from RNAcentral.